Molecule: long non-coding RNA, 1065 nt
Organism: Acinonyx jubatus (cheetah)
Lineage: Eukaryota; Metazoa; Chordata; Mammalia; Carnivora; Felidae
Exons: 3
Source: RefSeq, a predicted model, not a curated record
GGCCUGCCUUCAGAGCCGCCAGCAAAGGGCCAUCCCGCCAGGCAAACUCUCCUCCCUUGCCACCUUCAACAGGUAGAUCUGCUCCAAACAGAAAGUAAAUUUUGCAGAAAGUUGCCUGGAGCAGGAGAUGGCAUCAGAAGUAUACUGUAAAGGGGCCAAAUAGAUGCAUCCUUCUGUGAUGGGGUCCAGAAGAUGACAAGAUGGAAGAAGUUUCAGACUGAAACAUGAAAUGCAAGAAAUUUAAAAUUUCAUGAAACUGAUGAUCAGCUACACAAGAUCAAGAGUAACCAAAUGUGUGUCACAGAUGAAAUCCAAGUGCUUGCCCAAAUGGGAUCUGGCUUGCCUCUUUGCAAUUUAGCUAUAUAUUCUUUUUUGUGCAGAAAGUGGCUACUUACUACUAGUACUAUCAGCAUUUUACAAGAGCCUCUGCUUUAUCUAGCUUGUUUUAUCUCCACUUUUGAAUUUUAACCACACAUAUUUAUACUUCUGUCCAAAGUCUUGGCUAACAAAAAGUGUUCCAAUUUUAGAAUGUGGUAUUGGUAAACCAUUUCAAAGCAUUUUCAUAAAUGCCUCCUUAACUAACCUAUUUAAAAUAGGGCUCUAAGCCUGUAUGUUGUAAUCCCCAUUUUGGGGUGUUAUUUUUAUUCACUUAACACAACCUAAAAUUACAGUAUGUAUCUCCUUAUUUAUUGGUUACCUUCACCUCUUGAAUUAAAAGGUCUAUGAGGAGAACCAGGAUUCUGUCUCUUAUUUAUAGCUGUAUCUCUAGUACCUGGGCAACUCAGUAAUUAUUUGUAUAAAAAAUAAGGAACAAACCACAAAAUGCAAAGUAAAACAUUAAUAUGAUCCUAUUUCAAAACUUUACACAGGGGGCACCUGGGUAGCUCAGAUGUUUGAGCAUCCAAGUUGAUUUCAGCUCGGGUCGUGACCCCAACAUCGUGGGAUCAAGUCCCUCAUUGGGCUAUGCACUGAGGAUGGAGCCCGCUUAAGAUUCUCUCUCCCUCUGCUCCCCUCCCCUACUCGCCCUCUCUCCCUCCCUCCCUAUAAAUUAAAAACAAAACAAAA